UGGUUCUGGCAUCGAUGAAGAACGCAGCGAAAUGCGAAAAGUAAUGUGAAUUGCAGAAUUCAGUGAAUCAUCGAAUCUUUGAACGCACAUUGCGCCCGCCAGUAUUCUGGCGGGCAUGCCUGUCUGAGCGUCAUUUCAACCCUCACGCCCCCCUGGGCGUGGUGUUGGGGACCGGCCGAGCCCUGCGAGGGGACGGCCGCCCCCUAAAUCUAGUGGCGGGACCGCUGUAGCCUCCUCCGCGUAGUAGUGAUACCCCGCGCGUGGAGAGCGGCGAGCCCCUGCCGUUAAACCCCCAACUUCUUCAGGUUGACCUCAGAUCAGGUAGGAAUACCCGCUGA
This 338-nucleotide unclassified non-coding RNA is filed under the name uncultured fungus. RNAcentral describes it as "partial contains 5.8S ribosomal RNA and internal transcribed spacer 2". The stretch from base 1 to 133 matches the Rfam family "5.8S ribosomal RNA", at positions 22 to 154 of the family's 154-position model. Lineage: Eukaryota; Fungi. The record is from RNAcentral.